UUCUUCAUCUUCUUCUUUUUCUUCUUCAUCUUCUUCUCA
Molecule: small RNA, 39 nt
Filed under: Arabidopsis thaliana (thale cress)
Lineage: Eukaryota; Viridiplantae; Streptophyta; Magnoliopsida; Brassicales; Brassicaceae
Description: ATSL042820
Source: RNAcentral